CCAGAGAUGGAUUCGUGCUCGAAAGAGAACCUGCACACAGGUGCUGCAUGGCUGUCGUCAGCUCGUGUCGUGAGAUGUUGGGUUAAGUCCCGCAACGAGCGCAACCCUUGCCAUCAGUUGCUACGAAAGGGCACUCUGAUGGGACUGCCGGUGACAAACCGGAGGAAGGUGGGGAUGACGUCAAGUCCUCAUGGCCCUUAUAGGUGGGGCUACACACGUCAUACAAUGGCCGGUACAAAGGGCAGCAAACCCGCGAGGGGGAGCCAAUCCAUCAAAGCCGGUCGUAGUCCGGAUCGCAGUCUGCAACUCGACUGCGUGAAGUCGGAAUCGCUAGUAAUCGUGGAUCAGCAUGUCACGGUGAAUACGUUCCCGGGUCUU
RNAcentral lists this ribosomal RNA (378 nucleotides) under uncultured Hydrogenophaga sp. Its description in RNAcentral is "bacterial SSU rRNA". It matches the Rfam family "Bacterial small subunit ribosomal RNA", at positions 1000 to 1382 of the family's 1533-position model. Lineage: Bacteria; Pseudomonadati; Pseudomonadota; Betaproteobacteria; Burkholderiales; Comamonadaceae. The record is from RNAcentral.